AUCGCUUCUCGGCCUUUUGGCUAACAUCAAAGUGUAGUAUCUGUUCUUAUCAGCUUAAUCGGUGGACUAGUUGCUUUUGUCGCUGACAGCUCCAUAGUACCGGUUAAGCAGUCUGAACUUUUUUUCUCUUCACAGCAUUAAUUAUU
This 146-nucleotide small nuclear RNA is filed under the name Stegodyphus mimosarum. Its description in RNAcentral is "U2 spliceosomal RNA". It matches the Rfam family "U2 spliceosomal RNA". From Rfam's summary of the family: U2 is a small nuclear RNA (snRNA) component of the spliceosome (involved in pre-mRNA splicing). Complementary binding between U2 snRNA (in an area lying towards the 5' end but 3' to hairpin I) and the branchpoint sequence (BPS) of the intron results the bulging out of an unpaired adenosine, on the BPS, which initiates a nucleophilic attack at the intronic 5' splice site, thus starting the first of two transesterification reactions that mediate splicing. Lineage: Eukaryota; Metazoa; Arthropoda; Arachnida; Araneae; Eresidae. The record is from RNAcentral.